Molecule: long non-coding RNA, 2253 nt
Organism: Manis pentadactyla (Chinese pangolin)
Lineage: Eukaryota; Metazoa; Chordata; Mammalia; Pholidota; Manidae
Exons: 3
Source: RefSeq, a predicted model, not a curated record
UAAAAAAGUACCAGUGACUGGGUGGCUUAAACAACAGAAGUUUAUUUCAUCACAGUUCUACAGGUGGGGUGCCAACAUGAGGGCAACAGCAGGGCUGGUAUCUGAUGAGGACAUCCCCCCUGGGAUUGCACACAGCCGCCUUGGUGCAUGUGCGUGUGGAGUGCAUGCUCCCUGGUGUCUCUCAUAAGGACAUUAGUCCUCUUGGAUUAGGGACCCACCCUUAUGACCUGACUUUGGCUUAGCCUUGAUCACUUCCUUAGAGGCCUUAUUUCCAAAUACAGCCACACUGGGGAUUAGGGCUUCAACAUAGGAAUUUGGGGAGGACAAAAACAUUCAGCCCAUAACCGUGUAGGUUGGAUGUAACAGCAUUAAAUAUUUACAAAGAAAUUUCUCAGUUCAAAAGAUUAAAGUAGACAGCCUCUUCUUUCAUUUGCUCAUUCAACAAAUAUGGAGCAUCUAUUGUGUGUUGACUUUUUGGUUAUAAAAAUUAUUGAGAAAUACUUGAUCCCUUCAAGGAGUACAGAAUGGUACGGCUUUUUAUGCAGCUGAUCUGUACAUCCUAUGGCAUUGUGGUAAAUGUGAUGAUAAUGUUUUUCUUGGUGAGUUAUGGGGAUGAGAGGUCCAGGAAGGAGGGCAAAGAUUGGCAAGCAGAAGUCUAGAGUUUCAGCUGCUUCUCAGAAAUGUCAGCUCCAGCCUUUGCCCAAGUGACAAGCAUCAUUAUCCCUAAUUCUUCGUACCUCAUUCAGUCCUUCAACUUUAGCUCCAAAAUGCACUGACGUCCCAACCACCUGAUGUGAUAGGUCAAAGACGGACACACAAGCCAUGGUACAACCUUAACUAUUUUAUUUUAACUGAAUGCACAUAUGUUCAUUUGCCAGUGUCCUAAUUGGGGUUCAAGGCCCGUCUUUGGUAGGGCUUCACUAAUGAGUUUCUGGUUGUCUCUCUUGCUAGGCCACACCCCUAACAUAGAUCCCGAUCCUGGCUUUGGUUCCUCUAGAGUGAAGACAUGCAUGACGGAAUGGUACAUGGUCUAAAACCUAUUAAGGAUGCAUGUUGGCAGUACUAAAAUGAAGACAGGAAUCCAUGACUCUGUGCUAUGGUGACGAGCAUCAUGGAAAUACACCUGAUGGGCUCAGGUGUCUCAUCCAGUUAAUUUGUUUUCACUCUGAAAUUCCUCAAACUGUCUGUCUCCUCCAAAAGGAAGAUAAUGCCAUCUAAACUACAGCGUUGUGACCUAAAUGGAGUGUUAAUAAGCCCAAUCUAUCACCUAGGCACUAAAUGAGCAGAAUCUGAUAUCAACCUCCUGCACUGAAUGCUAUCAUCAUUGGCCGUUCAGGAGUCCAUCUGUAAGCCUGAAAUACAGUGGAAAUUUUUUUUAAACUGACGUAGACUAAAUGUCAUUCAUUAACUAAUCAGGUUAUUCCAUCACCUAUAUUUUAAUUACCCUAUGUUUUAAAUUUUGAAGGCUUAAAUAGCUUUAUCCAGUUUAUAAGUAUUUUUUGUUCUAACCAUAUUUCCAAGUGACACAUUCACUAAAUGGUAGUUUGUCAAACUAAACUUAAAAUGCCUUUUUAAUCUGUAAGAUAGUAGAAAUUUGUAUAAUUUUGCCAAGAGACAAAGUGGUUUUGAACUGACAAUUAAACAAGAAUAAUAUAACAUUUAUCUGACACAUGGGACUUGAGGAAGCAGCUUAAUAAGAGAUGAGAGGUAAGUGGAGACUUAUGUAAAGAAUCUCAUGAGAGAUUGCAAAGUGAGGCGGGCCAAACAACGAGAUGAAAACAGGUUUGAAGUUGGCUAAGAAGGGACAACUGACCACCUCAACUAAACAGGCCAACCAACAGUGCAAAAGAUUUUCCCCACUAGAAUACAAGUGAGCAAGGAGAUAGCCACCCACACGCUCCCUGGUUCCUCCUGGAGGCCUUCCCGUUGUGGCGGUUCAUACGGCACACACAGGCAAUACAUGCACCAGGUCACAAGAGCAAAGAAGACUUUGGCCCCCUCCCUGCCCCUGUGCUGUUAGACUGGUGUGGGGCCAUGUCAGCCCUAAAGACCUACCUACUGCCAUGUAAGGAAAUUCCUCACUGAGCCACAACUGCCUGACAAUUCCAUUUUUCUAAGUGUCUUCAUUUGUACAGUGGGUCAACUCAUGGCUUGCCACACGGGUUAUAAGAAGAUGGCUGGCACUACAUUUUUUUUUUGUUUGGCAUCAGUCUAACAAUCACCAGCUCUAAUUUUAUGCUUAUUAAUCAAAAG